This 479-nucleotide ribosomal RNA is filed under the name uncultured bacterium. Its description in RNAcentral is "partial 16S ribosomal RNA". It matches the Rfam family "Bacterial small subunit ribosomal RNA", at positions 28 to 507 of the family's 1533-position model. The record is from RNAcentral.
GAUGAACGCUAGCGGGAGGCCUAACACAUGCAAGCCGAGCGGUAUUGUUUCUUCGGAAAUGAGAGAGCGGCGUACGGGUGCGUAACACGUGUGCAACCUGCCUUUAUCUGGGGGAUAGCCUUUCGAAAGGAAGAUUAAUACUCCAUAAUAUAUUGAACGGCAUCGUUUAAUAUUGAAAGCUCCGGCGGAUAGAGAUGGGCACGCGCAAGAUUAGCUAGUUGGUGAGGUAACGGCUCACCAAGGCGAUGAUCUUUAGGGGGCCUGAGAGGGUGAUCCCCCACACUGGUACUGAGACACGGACCAGACUCCUACGGGAGGCAGCAGUAAGGAAGAUUGGUCAAUGGGUGCAAGCCUGAACCAGCCAUCCCGCGUGAAGGACGACUGCCCUAUGGGUUGUAAACUUCUUUUGUAUAGGGAUAAACCUACCCUCGAGAGGGUAGCUGAAGGUACUAUACGAAUAAGCACCGGCUAACUCCGUG